UACGGAGGGGGCUAGCGUUGUUCGGAAUUACUGGGCGUAAAGCGCACGUAGGCGGCUUUGUAAGUUAGAGGUGAAAGCCCAGGGCUUAACCCUGGAAUUGCCUUUAAGACUGCAUCGCUAGAAUUGUGGAGAGGUAAGUGGAAUUCCGAGUGUAGAGGUGAAAUUCGUAGAUAUUCGGAAGAACACCCGUGGCGAAGGCGACUUACUGGACACAUAUUGACGCUGAGGUGCGAAAGCGUGGGGAGCAAACAGG
This 253-nucleotide ribosomal RNA is filed under the name uncultured bacterium. RNAcentral's name for it is "partial 16S ribosomal RNA". It matches the Rfam family "Bacterial small subunit ribosomal RNA", at positions 524 to 776 of the family's 1533-position model. The record is from RNAcentral.